This 439-nucleotide ribosomal RNA is filed under the name uncultured bacterium. Its description in RNAcentral is "partial 16S ribosomal RNA". It matches the Rfam family "Bacterial small subunit ribosomal RNA", at positions 339 to 795 of the family's 1533-position model. The record is from RNAcentral.
CUACGGGACGCUCCAGUGGGGAAUAUUGCACAAUGGGGGAAACCCUGAUGCAGCAACGCCGCGUGGAGGAUGACGCAUUUCGGUGUGUAAACUCCUUUUAUAUCCCAAGAUAAUGACGGUAGGAUAUGAAUAAGCACCGGCUAACUCCGUGCCAGCAGCCGCGGUAAUACGGAGGGUGCAAGCGUUACUCGGAAUCACUGGGCGUAAAGGGCGCGUAGGCGGGUUGUCAAGUUUUGAGUGAAAUCCAACGGCUCAACCGUUGAACUGCUUGAGAAACUGGCAGCCUAGAGUAAGGGAGAGGUAGAUGGAAUUGGUGGUGUAGGGGUAAAAUCCGUAGAGAUCACCAGGAAUACCCAUUGCGAAGGCGAUCUGCUGGAACUUUACUGACGCUGAGGCGCGAAAGCGUGGGGAGCAAACAGGAUUAGAUACCCCCGUAGUC